ACAUUUCCUUCUGAAUCUUUUUUAACAGGUACCGUGCAAAGAUAUAUGUUUAUGACAACAGUGACCAAGCCGUUUUUGUCCUACUAGGUGAUGCUGGUCGUGUGUUAACCGGAAGGCACGCAUCAGAGUUAGUUAGCAACUACUUUGAGGCUAAUGGGAGUGAAGGAGCUGACCAUUUGGUGCCUGUCCCGGAAGCUCUAAUCAGCACCAUCGGACAGACACAUAAGUUUUGUGUGAAAGUUACACAGCACAACUUCUCUGGCGAUACCCGAGCCAUAACUGUCACCAAGAUCCUCUCUCUAGACACACCACCACCCACAGAAGCCUCUGUUGGAAGCAACAUUGCUGCCACGUCCGGGGAGACAGUGCAGACUGAGAAUGAAGUUUGUGAACCUUUCAAAACCCGUGGUGAUUCUGCAGAUGAGGAGAGUAUAAGGACGUUUGACAGUGUUGAUCCAGAGAAAGCCAAACGCCCAAGACGUGAUGAUUAAGCUUCGGUUCAUGGAUGUUUAAGUCUUUGCUAUAUAGUUCAAGCAUAGACUUGGUUUUUCUUAAGUUUGCUUCAGUUUAAGUACUAUUUUGGUUUAUCUAAAGACAGUGCAUUGUUUCUUUCCCUUUCAGACUUUGUCUUUUAAUCUUUGAACUACUUUUUUAUAAUCACUUCUGUCUUUA
Molecule: long non-coding RNA, 672 nt
Organism: Brassica oleracea var. oleracea
Lineage: Eukaryota; Viridiplantae; Streptophyta; Magnoliopsida; Brassicales; Brassicaceae
Exons: 2
Source: RefSeq, a predicted model, not a curated record